This 895-nucleotide ribosomal RNA is filed under the name Chaetomium elatum. RNAcentral's name for it is "LSU rRNA". It matches the Rfam family "Eukaryotic large subunit ribosomal RNA", at positions 38 to 965 of the family's 3401-position model. The record is from RNAcentral. Lineage: Eukaryota; Fungi; Ascomycota; Sordariomycetes; Sordariales; Chaetomiaceae.
CCAUAUCAAUAAGCGGAGGAAAAGAAACCAACAGGGAUUGCCCUAGUAACGGCGAGUGAAGCGGCAACAGCUCAAAUUUGAAAUCUGGCUUCGGCCCGAGUUGUAAUUUGCAGAGGAAGCUUUAGGCGCGGCACCUUCUGAGUCCCCUGGAACGGGGCGCCAUAGAGGGUGAGAGCCCCGUAUAGUUGGAUGCCUAGCCUGUGUAAAGCUCCUUCGACGAGUCGAGUAGUUUGGGAAUGCUGCUCAAAAUGGGAGGUAAAUUUCUUCUAAAGCUAAAUACCGGCCAGAGACCGAUAGCGCACAAGUAGAGUGAUCGAAAGAUGAAAAGCACUUUGAAAAGAGGGUUAAAUAGCACGUGAAAUUGUUGAAAGGGAAGCGCUUGUGACCAGACUUGCGCCGGGCAGAUCAUCCGGUGUUCUCACCGGUGCACUCUGCCCGGCUCAGGCCAGCAUCGGUUCUCGCGGGGGGAUAAAGGCCCUGGGAACGUAGCUCCUCCGGGAGUGUUAUAGCCCGGGGCGUAAUGCCCUCGCGGGGACCGAGGUUCGCGCAUCUGCAAGGAUGCUGGCGUAAUGGUCAUCAGCGACCCGUCUUGAAACACGGACCAAGGAGUCAAGGUUUUGCGCGAGUGUUUGGGUGCAAAACCCGCACGCGUAAUGAAAGUGAACGUAGGUGAGAGCUUCGGCGCAUCAUCGACCGAUCCUGAUGUUUUCGGAUGGAUUUGAGUAGGAGCGUUAAGCCUUGGACCCGAAAGAUGGUGAACUAUGCUUGGAUAGGGUGAAGCCAGAGGAAACUCUGGUGGAGGCUCGCAGCGGUUCUGACGUGCAAAUCGAUCGUCAAAUCUGAGCAUGGGGGGCGAAAGACUAAUCGAACCAUCUAGUAGCUGGUUACCGCCGAA